Lolium perenne is the source of this 1665-nucleotide long non-coding RNA. RefSeq lists it as uncharacterized. The record is from RefSeq and is a predicted model, not a curated record. NCBI's taxonomy places the organism in Eukaryota, Viridiplantae, Streptophyta, Magnoliopsida, Poales, Poaceae.
UGACAAUGAUGACAAUGAUGACAUGUGGAGCCUUCUGUUCUACAGGAAAACCCAUUGUUUAUUUCCUGAGAAGAAGCUUCUGCCUAUUGUUGCUGAAUAUGUAGACAGUGAAGCAUUGAGCCCCAUAAUUUCUAAUAAGCUUCGUGCAGGCUAUGGGAAGGCUCACAAUGUUGCUGCUCUGCCUCUUUGUCCUCUCUGGCAUUCAACAGGAGGAGCACAGGCUGCCUCCUAACCAUAUCAGAGGACGAUGUCUCUGCCGCCGGAGUAGAGAAGAACGAAGACAUCGAGACAGGGUGAGCAACUGACUGCCCGUGCAAUUCAUUUAUCAAUCAUAAAACAUGUUAGAAAUUUAAGAAUUUUCGUCUACUAUUUGUUUCAUUACCUAUGGGUUUCAGUAAGUACUGGAUAUUUUUCACCACACCUGAACACUGAACAGCCAUAUUAUCGGCCACCUGUUCUCCAUCACCGGUACUCUGAUAACAAGGCUUAUAAAGCGUGAGCGAGAGCUAGAAACGACGCCUCAGAAUAAUCGUUGGGCAUUUAAAAGGGUAGCCUACAGUUUUUUUGUAAGUAUGCUUUAACAUAAGGCUCAUCAUUGUUUUGGUGGAAUCAUACUUUGGUGGUGGAGGUAUUCUUUUGGUUGUACUCCCAUUUUAUUUUUAUUAUCACAUUGUAGGUUUUACCUGCUCUUCGUAUAUUAUCAUUACUAGAAUACCACAUUCUUUAUUUUGAGUUAAAUUUGAUUUACUUUUCUGAAAUGGUACAUUGCAAGCACUGUGCACCUUCGCUAGACUGUCGACAAGUGAGAGAAACAUCGCUUUCCUAUGUUUAGAAGAUAAUUUAGCACAGUUUCAUCAUGAAUAAAGUGCUCCACCAGUGAGUUUUUCUGUCAUCAGGGACCCAGGGAAAUGUGCAAAGCCCUCCCUCCCUACCCCGGAACCCUGCCCAUAACAGCUGGUACUGAUUCUAAUGGUGGUGCCACCAGAUUGCUUCCGUUGCGAGGUGUAGGCCUGCAGUAUUUGAACAAGUUAACUUUGUAAGUGCUAAGCAAUUGGCUGGUUUAGCAUUGGAAGAAAUAGGGUCUAGAGGAUUAGUGGAAACUUGCAUCCUACCUUGUGAGUGUCCACCGUAUGUGCGCAGACACACAUUGAUUCACGGCCGAGCUACAAUGAUCUGCUACUUUUCCCAAUUUCAUGACACAAGACCUAUUAUAUGAUGGAGUUCUAUAUGUAAGAAUAGAGGCAUGAAAUAAAUAUACAGGUUUUUUUUAUGAUCAACGCUGCUAUAGCUGUCAUGUAAUGGAAGAAAUAUCAUGUUUUGUCGCUUUUGACAUGCCAUGUUACCGCCGCUGUUUGAUAGGAUUCCACUUUGAUUAUGUUUAUGGCUGGACUAUUCUUAAAUAUCAGCAGUCACAGGGGAUCAAUCUUCGACCACGUGGUAUUGCCAGUAUAUGUGGUGCUAAAUGUCUGGUAGAUGUUCCAGUUCUGGUGUUUUACGUCGCUGCAGCAGGACAUCUCGGAAACAUGUCUCCAAUUGCAAGUUUUUAGGUAGAUGUUCCUAUUCUGGUGUCGAGAAUUAAAUGCAAGGAUACCAUGUAAUAUUAACUGUAUAUCAUUUCCAUGUAUUUGAUACAAAGAAGUUUUAGAAAUGGAUUGUUGCUUAUUC